CGGUCCAGACUCCUACGGGAGGCAGCAGUAGGGAAUCUUCCGCAAUGGGCGAAAGCCUGACGGAGCACGCCGCGUGAGUGAUGAAGGGUUUCGGCUCGUAAAACUCUGUUAUUAGGGAAGAACAAACGUGUAAGUAACUGUGCACGUCUUGACGGUACCUAAUCAAAAAGCCACGGCUAACUACGUGCCAGCAGCCGCGGUAA
RNAcentral lists this ribosomal RNA (203 nucleotides) under Staphylococcus saprophyticus. RNAcentral's name for it is "partial 16S ribosomal RNA". It matches the Rfam family "Bacterial small subunit ribosomal RNA", at positions 327 to 523 of the family's 1533-position model. Lineage: Bacteria; Bacillati; Bacillota; Bacilli; Caryophanales; Staphylococcaceae. The record is from RNAcentral.